RNAcentral lists this long non-coding RNA (757 nucleotides) under Populus trichocarpa (black cottonwood). Its description in RNAcentral is "long non-coding RNA (PTRI_LNC001000)". Lineage: Eukaryota; Viridiplantae; Streptophyta; Magnoliopsida; Malpighiales; Salicaceae. The record is from RNAcentral.
UUACAUCCUGGGCAAGAAUCCUCGUAAAAUGAGCUAUAUUGUGGGUUUUGGUAAUCAUUACCCAAAACAUCUCCACCAUAGAGGUGCAUCUAUCCCUAAGAACAAGAUCAGGUAUAACUGUAAAGGAGGAUGGAAAUGGAGGGACACCUCGAAGCCGAACCCAAAUACACUUGUUGGAGCCAUGGUUGCUGGCCCUGACCGGCAUGAUGGUUUCCAUGAUGUUCGCACCAACUAUAAUUAUACAGAGCCAACGAUUGCUGGAAAUGCAGGAUUAGUUGCAGCACUUGUGGCCUUGUCUGGUGACAAAACUACUGGGAUUGACAAGAACACAAUAUUCUCUGCAGUUCCCCCAAUGUUUCCAACUCCUCCACCACCACCAGCACCUUGGAAACCAUGAGAUGCCACAGUUGACAGUUUUUAAGAGUUUAUCUGUGUGGCUUUUGGUAAGAUGAUUUUGCUGCAAUAGAGUUUGGACUUGGAACAUCUUGGGAGGUAAAGAUGAUGCUACUUAAGGAAGGAGGAUGGUCAUAGGAAAGACUACAAUGCAUAAGUUUGUGAAGAUGACUGCGGUAUACGUGCUUGGGAACUUUAAGAAAUUGAUAUUUUGUACCGAAGAUGUCUGUCUGAUUUUGUGAUAUACUUAGUAUAUGUGUAUGAUAUGUAACGUUGUAUUCUUUGGGAAAACAAAUUGUGAAUUCAACAGUUCAAAGACUGAUUAACAAUAAAUUCGAUUUAAUGUUGUAACAGAUCUCAUCUC